AUUGAACGCUGGCGGCGGGCCUAACACAUGCAAGUCGAACGGUAGCACAGAGAGCUUGCUCUCGGGUGACGAGUGGCGGACGGGUGAGCAACGUCUGGGAAACUGCCCGAUGGAGGGGGAUAACUACUGGAAACGGUAGCUAAUACCGCAUAACGUCGCAAGACCAAAGUGGGGGACCUUCGGGCCUCACACCAUCGGAUGUGCCCAGAUGGGAUUAGCUAGUAGGUGGGGUAAUGGCUCACCUAGGCGACGAUCCCUAGCUGGUCUGAGAGGAUGACCAGCCACACUGGAACUGAGACACGGUCCAGACUCCUACGGGAGGCAGCAGUGGGGAAUAUUGCACAAUGGGCGAAAGCCUGAUGCAGCCAUGCCGCGUGUAUGAAGAAGGCCUUCGGGUUGUAAAGUACUUUCAGCGGGGAGGAAGGCGGUGAAGUUAAUAACCUUGCCGAUUGACGUUACCCGCAGAAGAAGCACCGGCUAACUCCGUGCCAGCCGCCGCCGUAA
Molecule: ribosomal RNA, 504 nt
Filed under: uncultured bacterium
Lineage: Bacteria
Description: partial 16S ribosomal RNA
Rfam family: Bacterial small subunit ribosomal RNA
Source: RNAcentral